This is a long non-coding RNA of Engraulis encrasicolus (European anchovy), 704 nucleotides long. RefSeq lists it as uncharacterized. The record is from RefSeq and is a predicted model, not a curated record. NCBI's taxonomy places the organism in Eukaryota, Metazoa, Chordata, Actinopteri, Clupeiformes, Engraulidae. The transcript has 3 exons.
CAUGCACUUGCUUGCUGCAUGGCAUCUGCUCAGCCGUUUUAAUUUGAGAGAAACAUUACAGCUUUGUGUGUAAAAUAUGAAAUGGUGUUAUACUGCCAUCUAUUGGUGGGUUGGUGCACUGUCAGCAGCCAACAUCACCCUUCAGCCAGAGACGGUUUCUCUGCUUCAGCGAUGUCCUGUCCAUGUCACAUUCAUCAGGUAUCCGAAAGCCAAACACGAGUGGAGGAUGCCAUCUUCUAGCUAGCAUUACAACGAAGAUAAACCUGGUGGUGGCUACUGGCAGACGACUGUGAACCAAAUCUCCACCAUUAUUUGUUGGAGACACUUACUCAGGUGACCAGAAAAUACCCUGACCUUGCUCACAGCGCCUUGGUCCAGUGACACCUGUCAAGAAAGUAGCAGACAAACUGGGCCCAUAUCCUGGAGUAGAUUAUGGAGCAGCAGCACCCAGACCCAAAACAAAGAACUGCAGGAGAUGACACUGGAGGACCAGGUCUGGUCUGCUAGAGUAGCGGAACAGGCAUGGUGUCCCAUCUCCAGCAGGAACACCUGGGAUACCUGUGGGAACUGCUCAGACAUGCCGACCAGGAGAGGAAGUGCUGCGGUCCGGACCCACCAGCUCACUUUUUUAAACAAAGUCAUUACUUGUAAAUAAAUGUAAAGCUUACACAUUCAAUUGGUUUAGGCACAGAGUUUUACGGGGU